GGUAUAUGCAAAUACAGUACAGACUAUAAGAUUUAUUACUUCCUUAUAUUACGUUAUUCUGACAAUGGAAAGAUAAGCUUUUGCAUACGUCUGGAAAAGAAUAUCCUUAAAAUCGGAAUGGGCAAGACAUCCUGAAAUUUAGCAUUGUCUUACAUCCUAUAGAAGAAAUACCUUAGUCUGUCACAGUCAGCAUAUUAUGUCGUACAUUGAGUUUAAGUAUUCAAUAUCCUUUCAGUCAGCAAUAAUCAUGUUAUAAACCUUAUAAAAGCAUAAAAUACAUAUAAACAAGUUAACUAUUUAAUAUUCUUACAUUCCCCUCUUUGAGCAAUAAAACAAUUGCUCAUCUUAUCGAUAAAAUCUUACCAGGACAGAGGAACUUCCACAUGGUAUUUUCAGGGGUGCUAGUCACUCCCUGCAGGACUUUCAUUAAUUUCUUCACCUCGAUUCCCAUGUGGUAAUUCCUAAGGCCCAGUUUAAAGAUGGGUUGAUACUCUACAGUGGCAGAGAGGAGAAUUUCUAAUUGUUUCUGUUCUGCAUUAUGGAUUCAUUUCUGUACUCUCUUCCUCAAUGUACAAGUAAGGUGACAGUUAUAUAAAAUCAUACACAAUAAAAUCAGGACUAUAAUAACAAAAUGAUAGAAGAAUGAUUUCAUUAUCUGAGAUCCAGUAGGGGACCAACCAGUAAAGCAUUGUACCAAUUAUGGGCUGAAUCAUUCUGAAUUUGUGAACUCACCUUAAGGAGUUCUCCUUUUAGGAUAUGUGUGGCUACCUGUGUGUGUUAUCUUUGGGAAAAAUAUAGUCCCCUGUGUAUGUGGGUGCCCACCAGGUUAAAUUCUUGGCAAAAAGAUCAUAAACUGGUACUGGCAAUGUGUUAAAUUGACAAGCUAAUUUAACAUCCUUUGAUGAUGUAUGAUAUAAUGUAAAAUAGCAUGAGCAUGAAAAAUGUGAAACAUUACCAGUUAACCAUCCAUUGCAUUUACUGGAUUGGGGUUUUAGAAGUAACCAUUCAUUAUCUGUGAGGUUACGCUUUCCUCUAAUCUUCUCUAGUUUAGGAAUCAUUAGUGUGUUUUCUAAUGCCAAUCCUUGUUGUUGUAUCCAUAAAUACCUGAUGGCACAAGUACUCCAGUUACGAGAUCUGUGGUGAAUUUCAUAGUUGCAACAGUUAAAUUAUCUAAAUAAUUAUACAUUGAUUUAUCUAAAUCCAAUCCUAUAACCUGUGAUUUAACAACAAUUGGAGCCCAAUUUGCAGUAGCAUGAAAACCAGUCCCUAUAUGCAUGCUGGCUGUGUUUAACUUAUUCUUGAGGGUCUCCAUAUCUAUAACUAUUUAGUAUACUCAUAGUGGUUCCAGCACCUCCUAACAGUGUGUCAUACCAUUCCCUUUUCUGCCUUUGUUUGUUGUGUUACAUAAUGUUACAACAGGAGUAGUGAUUUUUAAUGACACAUGUACAGCUUGUAAGAAGGCAGUUGUAUUAACACAUGUGGAUGGAAUAGGUGUGUGUGUCGUUGUUGACUUUUGGUUCUAUGGUAGUGGAUAAAGGACAGUAAUAAGGUAUAAAAAUAUAAGGUAGUGUAUAGUUCUCAAUUGCAGUGUCGUUCAUAAUGACUAACAUUUGUCCCCUUUUCCAAUUAAUGAUACCAGUUAUAUAAUCAUUAUUAAAAGUAAUAAGGCCUGUCUGUUUACAUUGAUAUGCAACCUUAACUGUGCACAUUUCUGCUUUAUAAGAUCUAACAAUUUUCUGUGAACCUUUAAACAAACAUAAUGCAUCGGUUUCAUUAGCUGUAGACACAUUUCAUAUGGGUAACUGGUACUUAUAAGGGUUACUAUUUGUCCAAUUCAUCCAAAUGCGUUCAGUGAAUGAAUGAUUGCAUAUUACAUGCUGAUAGAAAGGUGGUGGAGAAAGGUUCUUGAGGGAGCGUGUGUGACGAAUGCUAGAUGAGGGGCUAAGGCCUAAUUGGGCUGGGGGUAUUGAAGAAUUGUUCAUCAUGUCAGAGUCUUUUUUCCAGAAACAAACAGGUUUCAAACUUGCCAUUGACUUGUACUCAUAAUGGCAUUCAAGGAACAAUAUCAGAGGGAGUAUAACAACUCCAGAAAGCAUAGCGCACAACAUAAUCUUGGUCUCAGGUACGUAUGAUCCUCUCAAUCUACGAUAUGGUGUAAAAGCCAUGAUGCUUCGCUGAGGAGAAAUUCUUCUGUUUCCGAGCGAGGAGUGGUGUUGUCUUCCUUGGUUCCCCUCUUUGGACACAGCUUCACUCGGGAUGCGUGAAUCCAGAUGUCAUGGGAAUCUGUGAGGACAGCGGUUCUGGGUACAGCAAUCACAGUAGCAGGUGGUCCAAAAGGGUAUCCUCCUUUCUUGGUCCUGUUCAACUGACGGAUAUACACCUUGUCACCGGGCUGGUAUGAAUGAGUAGGUUCCUGUGAAGGUAAGGGAAAACUGCGAAGAAACAUUGUCAUACAUACCAUUCGGUUUUAUCAACAAUUCCUGUACAUAUUGUUCUUGUAUUAGCUGUAAAUCCCCAGACAUUAUAACAAGCGGUUCCCUGGCCCAGGGUGUGGGAAAAGGUCAUCCCAUCAAAAAUCUCAGAUGGAGAUAAUUUAGUCACCUUGUGAGGAAUCACUCUUAUCUCAGCUAAAAUAGCUGGUAGAUAUCUAGUCCAAUUUACCCAUGUUCCUGGGUAAAUUCUGGGCUUUUCCUUAAUAGUCCUAUUCAUCCUUUCAACUACCCCUGUAUUCUGUGGAUGAUAGGGUAUAUGAAACUGCCAGGUAACUUGCAAGAAUUUAGCAAGUUCCUGGGCAACCCCACUGGCAAAAACCGGGCCAUUAUCAGAGCCAAUCUGCAGAGGGCAGCAAUACCGGGGAAUAAUUUCAGUAACAAUAAUCUUCACUAGCAUCUUCCCUAGAUGUCACAAAGGCCUCAUGCCAUCUACUAAACUGAUUAACUAUGACCAGUAAGUAUUGCUGUUUCUUACCAAUUUUGGAUACAUGAAUAAAAUCAAUCUGUAAGUGUGUAAAAAGAGCAGCGUUCACACGAUCUUACAAAAGACUGUACAUGCUGCCUGAGAUUCCUAAUAUAAAAUGAAUUCAUGAAGAAUUGAAUGGUGCUUGCUAUGUGCCUGACUGAUGAAAAUAAAGCAGCUUGCUUCAAGUAUGCCUAUUCUUCAAGUAUGCCUAUUCUCCCCUCUUUAGAGAACAGAUCAUUCUGAUCUUUCUCUAAACCUUGUUUAAUCCAAAAGACAGAUUCUGGGUAUUAAAAAAAGAAUCUCAUAACCACUGAAGCGCUGGGCUGUCAUGUGUUGUGUGGUGAGAUUUGUCAUCAGCUGAGUGACCUGGUGACUGGCAUGAAGUAUUGUAGGAUGCCCUAGUGUGAUAGUAGUAGCAGUUUCAACAGCCAUUGCACAUGCUAUCAAUGCUCUGAGACACGCCGGCAUACCCUGUACCGGAGCUCGAACUACUUUGGAAAAGAAUGCUAUGGGACGCAUACCGCCUCCUUGCUCUUGUGCACAGACCGCGGCCAUGGUUUUACAAUUGUCCCAAGCAUACAAAUGAAAUGGUUUACAAUACACAGGUAGUCCUAAAGCCUGGGCUUGCACAAUAACAACUGUAAGGGCAAUAUAUGCAGAUAGCAUGUCUGGUGACCAGCAGACAUUUUCAGGGCUGUCAGAACGUACAGCCUCCCUUAGGAUUGAGUCAUAAUGGGAGCAUUCAGGGAUCCAUUGGUGGCAGUAAUUAAUCAUGCCGAGGAAGGUGAGCAACUCCUUCCGAGUAGUGGGUGUAGGAAUCCUCUGAAUGACCUCAAUACAUUUUGGACUCAAUUGUCUGGUGCCUAAAGCCAGAACAAAACCUAAGUAUUCAACCUUUGAUUUACACAAUUGCAUUUUGUGUUUAACAACCUUGUAACCCACAGCUGCUGACAGUAUCCACAGUGCUUGCCUCAUAGCUAGGGCUACAUAACAACAAAUCAUCAACAUUUUGCAAAAAGGACGGAACCAUGACCGGUGGUCCAUGUUUUUAGAGUAUGUUGGAGUACCAACGAAUAAACAGCUGGGGAAUCCACAUAGCCUUGGGUAAGCGUGUCCAGGUAAACUGACAGCCUUCAAAAAGUAAAAACCAUAAGUAGCUGUGUCUCUUGAUCAAUAGGUAUAGAAAAAAUGCAUUACUU
Molecule: long non-coding RNA, 4157 nt
Filed under: Pelobates cultripes (western spadefoot toad)
Lineage: Eukaryota; Metazoa; Chordata; Amphibia; Anura; Pelobatidae
Source: RNAcentral